Molecule: ribosomal RNA, 836 nt
Filed under: uncultured archaeon
Lineage: Archaea
Description: bacterial SSU rRNA
Rfam family: Archaeal small subunit ribosomal RNA
Source: RNAcentral
UUCCGGUUGAUCCUGCCAGAGGCUACUGCUAUCGGGGUUCGAUUAAGCCAUGCGAGUUAAAUGUUCUUCGUGAACAUAGCGAACUGCUCAGUAACACGUGGAUAACCUACCCUUAGGACCGGAAUAACCCCGGGAAACUGGGGAUAAUACCGGAUAAGCCAUAGACGCUGGAAUGCCCUAUGGUUCAAAGCUCCGGCGCCUAAGGAUGGAUCUGCGGUCUAUCAGGUUGUAGUGGGUGUAACGUACCUACUAGCCGACGACGGAUACGGGUUGUGAGAGCAAGAGCCCGGAGAUGGAUUCUGAGACACGAAUCCAGGCCCUACGGGGUGCAGCAGGCGCGAACACUUUACAAUGCGGGAAACCGCGAUAAGGGAACCCCGAGUGCCAGCAUCAAAUGUUGGCUGUCCAGAUGAUUAAAAAUCAUUUGUUAGCAAGGGCCGGGCAAGACCGGUGCCAGCCGCCGCGGUAACACCGGCGGCCCGAGUGGUAGCCGUUUUUAUUGGGUCUAAAGGGUCCGUAGCCGGCCUGAUAAGUCCUUUGGGAAAUCUGGCAGCUUAACUGUCAGGCUUCUAAGGGAUACUGUCAGGCUUGGGACCGGAAGAGGUAAGGGGUACUCCAGGGGUAGGAGUGAAAUCUUGUAAUCCCUGGGGGACCAUCUGUGGCGAAGGCGCCUUACCAGAACGGGUCCGACGGUGAGGGACGAAAGCUAGGGGAGCAAACCGGAUUAGAUACCCGGGUAGUCCUAGCUGUAAACGAUGCUCGCUAGGUGUCAGACACGGUGCGACCGUGUUUGGUGCCGCAGGGAAGCCGUUAAGCGAGCCACCUGGGAAGUACGG